RNAcentral lists this ribosomal RNA (433 nucleotides) under uncultured bacterium. RNAcentral describes it as "partial 16S ribosomal RNA". It matches the Rfam family "Bacterial small subunit ribosomal RNA", at positions 29 to 507 of the family's 1533-position model. The record is from RNAcentral.
AACGAACGCUGGCGGCAUGCCUAACACAUGCAAGUCGAACGAUGCUUUCGGGCAUAGUGGCGCACGGGUGCGUAACGCGUGGGAAUCUGCCCUGGGGUUCGGGAUAACAGCGGGAAACUGCUGCUAAUACCGGAUGAUAUCGCCAGAUCAAAGAUUUAUCGCCCUGGGAUGAGCCCGCGUCGGAUUAGGUAGUUGGUGGGGUAAGAGCCUACCAAGCCGACGAUCCGUAGCUGGUCUGAGAGGAUGAUCAGCCACACUGGGACUGAGACACGGCCCAGACUCCUACGGGAGGCAGCAGUGGGGAAUAUUGGACAAUGGGCGCAAGCCUGAUCCAGCAAUGCCGCGUGAGUGAUGAAGGCCUUAGGGUUGUAAAGCUCUUUUACCCGGGAUGAUAAUGACAGUACCGGGAGAAUAAGCCCCGGCUAACUCCGUG